RNAcentral lists this ribosomal RNA (1439 nucleotides) under Parageobacillus toebii. Its description in RNAcentral is "bacterial LSU rRNA". It matches the Rfam family "Bacterial large subunit ribosomal RNA", at positions 1466 to 2894 of the family's 2925-position model. Lineage: Bacteria; Bacillati; Bacillota; Bacilli; Caryophanales; Anoxybacillaceae. The record is from RNAcentral.
GGGGGGACGCAGGAAGGUAGGGCGAGCAGGCUGCUGGAAUAGCCUGUCCAAGCGGUUAGGCUGCCAGAUAGGCAAAUCCGUCUGGCGCAAAGGCUGAGCCGUGAUGGCGAAGGGACCAUCGGUCCCGAAGUCCCCGAUCCUACACUGCCAAGAAAAGCCUCUAGCGAGGUGAGAGGUGCCCGUACCGCAAACCGACACAGGUAGGCGAGGAGAGAAUCCUAAGGUGCGCGGGAGAACUCUCGUUAAGGAACUCGGCAAAAUGACCCCGUAACUUCGGGAGAAGGGGUGCUCUCUUGGGUGAUGAGCCCGAGAGAGCCGCAGUGAAAAGGCCCAAGCGACUGUUUAUCAAAAACACAGGUCUCUGCGAAGCCGAAAGGCGAAGUAUAGGGGCUGACACCUGCCCGGUGCUGGAAGGUUAAGGGGAGCGCUUAAGCCGCAAGGCUGAAGGUGCGAACCGAAGCCCCAGUAAACGGCGGCCGUAACUAUAACGGUCCUAAGGUAGCGAAAUUCCUUGUCGGGUAAGUUCCGACCCGCACGAAAGGUGUAACGACUUGGGCACUGUCUCAACGAGAGACCCGGUGAAAUCAUACUACCUGUGAAGAUGCAGGUUACCCGCGACAGGACGGAAAGACCCCGUGGAGCUUUACUGCAGCCUGAUAUGGAAUUUUGGUAUCGCUUGUACAGGAUAGGUGGGAGCCUGAGAAGCCGGAGCGCCAGCUUCGGUGGAGGCGCCGGUGGGAUACCACCCUGGCGGUAUUGAAAUUCUAACCCGCACCCCUGAUCGGGGUGGGAGACAGUGUCAGGUGGGCAGUUUGACUGGGGCGGUCGCCUCCCAAAAGGUAACGGAGGCGCCCAAAGGUUCCCUCAGAAUGGUUGGAAAUCAUUCGUAGAGUGCAAAGGCACAAGGGAGCUUGACUGCGAGACGGACAGGUCGAGCAGGGACGAAAGUCGGGCUUAGUGAUCCGGUGGUUCCGUAUGGAAGGGCCAUCGCUCAACGGAUAAAAGCUACCCCGGGGAUAACAGGCUGAUCUCCCCCAAGAGUCCACAUCGACGGGGAGGUUUGGCACCUCGAUGUCGGCUCAUCGCAUCCUGGGGCUGUAGUCGGUCCCAAGGGUUGGGCUGUUCGCCCAUUAAAGCGGUACGCGAGCUGGGUUCAGAACGUCGUGAGACAGUUCGGUCCCUAUCCGUCGCGGGCGCAGGAAAUUUGAGAGGAGCUGUCCUUAGUACGAGAGGACCGGGAUGGACGCACCGCUGGUGUACCAGUUGUCCCGCCAGGGGCACCGCUGGGUAGCUAUGUGCGGAAGGGAUAAGCGCUGAAAGCAUCUAAGCGUGAAGCCCCCCUCAAGAUGAGAUUUCCCAUCGCGUCAAGCGAGUAAGAUCCCUCGAAGAUGACGAGGUCGAUAGGUCCGAGGUGGAAGCGUGGCGACACGUGGAGCUGA